This is a long non-coding RNA of Sciurus carolinensis (gray squirrel), 852 nucleotides long. RefSeq lists it as uncharacterized. Lineage: Eukaryota; Metazoa; Chordata; Mammalia; Rodentia; Sciuridae. The transcript has 5 exons. The record is from RefSeq and is a predicted model, not a curated record.
CCCGCCUGGAGCCGGGUCGGCGGCCGCAGCCCCCAGUGCCUGCGGGGCCCCGCGGCGGCGAGACCUGCAGGAGAGUGUCGCGCACCGACCGCCUGCAUCCCCGCUGCGCCUGGUAACCAGGUACGCGCACCUGUCAGGUUCGGACCCGCCGAGGUGCGCACCAGUAAUACAAGAACAGGCGGUGCAGCCAGCUGAUACACAAUGACUGAGAGAAAAACCAGGGAAAGAAGGGACAUUGACACCCAUCCUCGUCUGUGCACGGAAUGAUCCUGUUAUCCACGGCCCCACUGGAGGAAGCACCGGUCCCAUCCCUGAGGACGCUUGUAGGUCCUGGUUGCAGAGCUGAAGAAAUAAUGACUCACAGGAUUGGGAAAGCCUCCUGAGCCGCUGCAAUUGCAGGCGUGGGCCACCGCUCCUGGUCACAUUCCUGGUUUUUAUGUGCCGUGUUUUUGCUCCACUGGAAUGCACUUUGGCUCAAGAUGUAAGGAAGAGACCUAAUUCAACAUCCUGGUGGAUGGAAGCUUCAUGGUUCCUAGCAACAUUUAUCAGCCAAUGGACUAGAAUCGUCAUCAGCUUACCAGCAGUGCAAUAGGGCCGAGGACCGAACUCAGGGCCUUGCGUGUACAAGGCAAGCGCUCUGCCACUGAGCUAAAUCCCCAACCCUGCAAAUAGAUUUGAAACAGGAUUUCUGCUUCCAGUUCUCAGAAGGUUCUAGCAAAAAUACUAAACCACCAUUUGACCCAGUUAUCCCACUCCUUGGUUUAUACCUAAAGGACUAAAAAUCAGCAUACUACGGUGAUACAGCCACAUCAAUGUUUAUAGCAGCUCAAUUCACAAUAGCUAAACUAUGGA